This 752-nucleotide ribosomal RNA is filed under the name Bacillus subtilis. Its description in RNAcentral is "bacterial SSU rRNA". It matches the Rfam family "Bacterial small subunit ribosomal RNA", at positions 38 to 771 of the family's 1533-position model. Lineage: Bacteria; Bacillati; Bacillota; Bacilli; Caryophanales; Bacillaceae. The record is from RNAcentral.
GGCGGCGGCGGCUUAUACAUGCAAGUCGAGCGGACAGAUGGGAGCUUGCUCCCUGAUGUUAGCGGCGGACGGGUGAGUAACACGUGGGUAACCUGCCUGUAAGACUGGGAUAACUCCGGGAAACCGGGGCUAAUACCGGAUGGUUGUUUGAACCGCAUGGUUCAAACAUAAAAGGUGGCUUCGGCUACCACUUACAGAUGGACCCGCGGCGCAUUAGCUAGUUGGUGAGGUAACGGCUCACCAAGGCAACGAUGCGUAGCCGACCUGAGAGGGUGAUCGGCCACACUGGGACUGAGACACGGCCCAGACUCCUACGGGAGGCAGCAGUAGGGAAUCUUCCGCAAUGGACGAAAGUCUGACGGAGCAACGCCGCGUGAGUGAUGAAGGUUUUCGGAUCGUAAAGCUCUGUUGUUAGGGAAGAACAAGUACCGUUCGAAUAGGGCGGUACCUUGACGGUACCUAACCAGAAAGCCACGGCUAACUACGUGCCAGCAGCCGCGGUAAUACGUAGGUGGCAAGCGUUGUCCGGAAUUAUUGGGCGUAAAGGGCUCGCAGGCGGUUUCUUAAGUCUGAUGUGAAAGCCCCCGGCUCAACCGGGGAGGGUCAUUGGAAACUGGGGAACUUGAGUGCAGAAGAGGAGAGUGGAAUUCCACGUGUAGCGGUGAAAUGCGUAGAGAUGUGGAGGAACACCAGUGGCGAAGGCGACUCUCUGGUCUGUAACUGACGCUGAGGAGCGAAAAGCUGUUUCGCCC